This 68-nucleotide transfer RNA is filed under the name Ictidomys tridecemlineatus (thirteen-lined ground squirrel). RNAcentral's name for it is "Spermophilus tridecemlineatus (thirteen-lined ground squirrel) tRNA". It matches the Rfam family "tRNA". From Rfam's summary of the family: Transfer RNA (tRNA) molecules are approximately 80 nucleotides in length. Their secondary structure includes four short double-helical elements and three loops (D, anti-codon, and T loops). Further hydrogen bonds mediate the characteristic L-shaped molecular structure. tRNAs have two regions of fundamental functional importance: the anti-codon, which is responsible for specific mRNA codon recognition, and the 3' end, to which the tRNAs corresponding amino acid is attached (by aminoacyl-tRNA synthetases). tRNAs cope with the degeneracy of the genetic code in two manners: having more than one tRNA (with a specific anti-codon) for a particular amino acid; and 'wobble' base-pairing, i.e. permitting non-standard base-pairing at the 3rd anti-codon position. The record is from Rfam by way of RNAcentral. Lineage: Eukaryota; Metazoa; Chordata; Mammalia; Rodentia; Sciuridae.
GGGGCCGUGGCUCAGAGGCAGAGCGCUUGCCUUGGACGUGAGAGCACUGGGUUCGAUCCUCGGCACCA